UGCGGAAGGAUCAUUAUUGAAAUUAUAGGUGAGGGUUGUAGCUGGCCUCUCGGGGCAUGUGCACGCCCGAGCCCUUAAUCCACACACACCUGUGAACCUAUUGUAAGGGCCCUUAAAAAAGGCCUUUACGUCUUAUCAUCAACCCAUCGUAUGUCUCAUAGAAUGUAAAUAUAUGUCCUCGCCUUAAAAAGCGUUGAUAAACUUAUACAACUUUCAACAACGGAUCUCUUGGCUCUCGCAUCGAUGAAGAACGCAGCGAAAUGCGAUAAGUAAUGUGAAUUGCAGAUUUUCAGUGAAUCAUCGAAUCUUUGAACGCACCUUGCGCUCCUUGGUAUUCCGAGGAGCAUGCCUGUUUGAGUGUCAUUAAAUUCUCAACUCCGAUCGAUUUGUUUCGACUUCGGAGCUUGGAUUUGGAGCGUGCUGGCGUCGGUCGGCUCCUCUUAAAUGCAUCAGCGGAAUCUAACGUUUCGGANGUCAGUGUGAUAAUCAUGUUGCGCUGUCUGUCUGAUCCGAAAGCCCGCUCAC
RNAcentral lists this ribosomal RNA (525 nucleotides) under Piloderma fallax. RNAcentral's name for it is "eukaryotic LSU rRNA". The stretch from base 209 to 363 matches the Rfam family "5.8S ribosomal RNA". Lineage: Eukaryota; Fungi; Basidiomycota; Agaricomycetes; Atheliales; Atheliaceae. The record is from RNAcentral.